RNAcentral lists this ribosomal RNA (273 nucleotides) under uncultured Ascomycota. RNAcentral describes it as "partial 18S ribosomal RNA". It matches the Rfam family "Eukaryotic small subunit ribosomal RNA", at positions 548 to 827 of the family's 1831-position model. The record is from RNAcentral. Lineage: Eukaryota; Fungi; Ascomycota.
UUGGAGGGCAAGUCUGGUGCCAGCAGCCGCGGUAAUUCCAGCUCCAAUAGCGUAUAUUAAAGUUGUUGUGGUUAAAAAGCUCGUAGUUGAACCUUGGGCCUGGCUGGCCGGUCCGCCUCACCGCGUGCACUGGUCCGGCCGGGCCUUUCCCUCUGCGGAACCCCAUGCCCUUCACUGGGUGUGGCGGGGAAACAGGACUUUUACUUUGAAAAAAUUAGAGUGCUCAAGGCAGGUCUAUGCUCGAAUACAUUAGCAUGGAAUAAUAGAAUAGGA